This 698-nucleotide ribosomal RNA is filed under the name uncultured Bacteroidales bacterium. Its description in RNAcentral is "bacterial SSU rRNA". It matches the Rfam family "Bacterial small subunit ribosomal RNA", at positions 60 to 748 of the family's 1533-position model. Lineage: Bacteria; Pseudomonadati; Bacteroidota; Bacteroidia; Bacteroidales. The record is from RNAcentral.
AGUCGAGGGGCAUCAGGAAGAAAGCUUGCUUUCUUUGCUGGCGACCGGCGCACGGGUGAGUAACACGUAUCCAACCUGCCCUUUACUCGGGGAUAGCCUUUCGAAAGAAAGAUUAAUACCCGAUGGCAUAAUGAUUCCGCAUGGUUUCAUUAUUAAAGGAUUCCGGUAAAGGAUGGGGAUGCGUUCCAUUAGGUUGUUGGUGAGGUAACGGCUCACCAAGCCUUCGAUGGAUAGGGGUUCUGAGAGGAAGGUCCCCCACAUUGGAACUGAGACACGGUCCAAACUCCUACGGGAGGCAGCAGUGAGGAAUAUUGGUCAAUGGGCGAGAGCCUGAACCAGCCAAGUAGCGUGAAGGAUGACCGCCCUAUGGGUUGUAAACUUCUUUUAUAUGGGAAUAAAGGGUGCCACGUGUGGCAUUUUGUAUGUACCAUAUGAAUAAGGAUCGGCUAACUCCGUGCCAGCAGCCGCAGUAAUACGGAGGAUCCGAGCGUUAUCCGGAUUUAUUGGGUUUAAAGGGAGCGUAGGUGGACAUGUAAGUCAGUUGUGAAAGUUUGCGGCUCAACCGUAAAAUUGCAGUUGAUACUGCGUGUCUUGAGUACAGUAGAGGUGGGCGGAAUUCGUGGUGUAGCGGUGAAAUGCUUAGAUAUCACGAAGAACUCCGAUUGCGAAGGCAGCUCACUGGACUGCAACUGACACUG